CCUACGGGAGGCAGCAGUGAGGCAUAUUGGUCAAUGGACGAGAGUCUGAACCAGCCAAGUAGCGUGAAGGAUGACUGCCCUAUGGGUUGUAAACUUCUUUUAUAUGGGAAUAAAAUGUUCCACGUGUGGGAUUUUGUAUGUACCAUAUGAAUAAGGAUCGGCUAACUCCGUGCCAGUAGCCGCGGUAAUACGGAGGAUCCGAGCGUUAUCCGGAUUUAUUGGGUUUAAAGGGAGCGUAGGUGGAUUGUUAAGUCAGUUGUGAAAGUUUGCGGCUCAACCGGAAAAUUGCAGUUGAAACUGGCAGUCGUGAGUACAGUAGAGGUGGGCGGAAUUCGUGGUGUAGCGGUGAAAUGCUUAGAUAUCACGAAGAACUCCGAUUGCGAAGGCAGCUCACUGGACUGCAACUGACACUGGGGCUCGAAAGUGUGGGUAUCAAACAGGAGUAGAUACCCUUGUAGUC
Molecule: ribosomal RNA, 460 nt
Filed under: uncultured bacterium
Lineage: Bacteria
Description: partial 16S ribosomal RNA
Rfam family: Bacterial small subunit ribosomal RNA
Source: RNAcentral